Molecule: long non-coding RNA, 740 nt
Filed under: Marmota monax (woodchuck)
Lineage: Eukaryota; Metazoa; Chordata; Mammalia; Rodentia; Sciuridae
Source: RNAcentral
GCCUCACGGUUUCCCCUCUGCUCGCUGACCCCGAACGGAGACUACUCUGGCGACUCCCCGGGUCUGGGUCCGUUUCAGCUCCAACCACUUUGGAGGGUACUCGGGACCCAACAGAGGGUGAUCAAGCCUUUCUUCCACCCGCUUAGGCCUCGAAGGGGAAGUCAGGUGGGCUACAAAACCAAAUGGACCCGGAUCCUACCUGUUCAACUGGGUGGUGCUCCAAAACCCUAAUUCUGGUUCCUGCUGCCUGUGGGUUCUGUUGUGCUCCGGGGUGGCAGCUCCAGGGCACUGGGUGGUGAGUGGCCUCUCCUUCAGGCCAAGAUUUGACUGUGUGUGCUAAGGGGAAACACUGUCCCCCACUGCCGGGGGGCAGGGGGGGAGCCGGUCCCCAGAGACAAGAGAGACAGAACAGCCAUCCUUACCUCCUCCAUCCCAUCUGGAUCAACAAAAAUGUUGUAGGGACAGAUGAGGCAAGGCAAAGAACAUAGCAGGAAACAGUUUUGCAUCUGAGAAACCAAUGUGACUCCAUUUUUGAGAAACCAGCCUCUACCUCAGAGCAAAGCCUGUCCAAGGAAGGGGGCGUGACCCUUGUCCUUGGAAAGACCCACAGAGCACUCCUAGGCAGAUAGCCACCCUGCUGAGUUGUUUGUCUGUAAAUAACAGGAGAGAUCUGUGGCGCCAGGUGUCCCUGACUCAGUUAGGCUAGGUGAGGACCCAUAGCAACCCCCCUAGCAACCUCC